GUGAAUCAUCGAAUCUUUGAACGCAAAUUGCACUCUCUGGCAUUCCGGAGAGUAUGCCUGUUUGAGGAUCAGUUUAAAUAAAAAUCGAGGCGUUGCUGUUUUUUGACCCAUCGGAAUGGGGGUAGCUUUUACCUUUUAAGAAGUUUAAGUGACCUAAAAUUGGUACCUUGUGCAUCUCAGACGUACGUAAGUAUAUUUUUUUAUACGUCCGGAAUUGCCACCUUUUUAUUAGGUAUGACCAUGCGGU
Molecule: unclassified non-coding RNA, 247 nt
Filed under: Glomeraceae sp.
Lineage: Eukaryota; Fungi; Glomeromycota; Glomeromycetes; Glomerales; Glomeraceae
Description: partial contains 5.8S ribosomal RNA and internal transcribed spacer 2
Rfam family: 5.8S ribosomal RNA (bases 1-71)
Source: RNAcentral